RNAcentral lists this ribosomal RNA (376 nucleotides) under uncultured bacterium. RNAcentral describes it as "bacterial SSU rRNA". It matches the Rfam family "Bacterial small subunit ribosomal RNA", at positions 524 to 898 of the family's 1533-position model. The record is from RNAcentral.
AACGUAGGAGGCGAGCGUUAUCCGGAUUUACUGGGUGUAAAGCGCGUGCAGGCGGCGGCGCAAGUCGUGUGUGAAAGCUCCCGGCUCAACCGGGAGAGGACGGACGAGACUGAGCUGCUAGAGGCAGGUAGAGGUGUGUGGAAUUCCGGGUGUAGUGGUGAAAUGCGUAGAGAUCCGGAGGAACACCAGUGGCGAAGGCGGCACACUAGGCCUGGCCUGACGCUCAGACGCGAAAGCAUGGGGAGCGAACGGGAUUAGAAACCCCGGUAGUCCAUGCUGUAAACGAUGCGGACUAGGUGUUGCGGGUUGAAUCCCCUGCAGUGCCGAAGCGAACGUGAUAAGUCCGCCACCUGGGGAGUACGGCCGCAAGGUUAAA